Molecule: long non-coding RNA, 167 nt
Organism: Oryzias latipes (Japanese medaka)
Lineage: Eukaryota; Metazoa; Chordata; Actinopteri; Beloniformes; Adrianichthyidae
Source: RefSeq, a predicted model, not a curated record
UAGGCAGACCCAGAUGCUGGAACCCAGAAGGAUGACAGGAGGGAGGCGACGUGGCUGGAGGGAGAGCGUGAAUCCGAGACCGGACGAGGGCAGGAGGCACCGCUUGAGGAACCAGACCGUGACUUGAGAGGAGCCGGGAAAUUCCAACAGCGUUCCACUGCAGACGG